UGUGUAGGCGGGACGGUAAGUCGGGCGUGAAAUCCCACGGCUCAACCGUGGAACUGCUCCCGAUACUGCCGACCUUGAGUACGGGAUAGGAGAGUGGAACUCACGGUGUAGCGGUAAAAUGCGUAGAUAUCGUGAGGAACACCGGUGGCGAAGGCGGCUCUCUGGCCCGAUACUGACGCUGAGACACGAAAGCCAGGGUAGCGAACG
Molecule: ribosomal RNA, 207 nt
Filed under: uncultured bacterium
Lineage: Bacteria
Description: partial 16S ribosomal RNA
Rfam family: Bacterial small subunit ribosomal RNA
Source: RNAcentral